Molecule: non-coding RNA, 93 nt
Organism: Leptonychotes weddellii (Weddell seal)
Lineage: Eukaryota; Metazoa; Chordata; Mammalia; Carnivora; Phocidae
Source: RefSeq, a predicted model, not a curated record
CAUCACUGGAGACCGACACCAGCUUCCCUGGAGAAGGCCUAGUCAGGUUUGGCACAGAGGGUUCUUAAGCAGGACAGAGAUGGGGAAAGAAAC